This 490-nucleotide ribosomal RNA is filed under the name uncultured marine eukaryote. RNAcentral's name for it is "SSU rRNA". It matches the Rfam family "Eukaryotic small subunit ribosomal RNA", at positions 610 to 1101 of the family's 1831-position model. The record is from RNAcentral.
UUGUUGUGGUUAAAAAGCUCGUAGUUGGAUCUCGGCGGACUGAGGGCGGUUUGCUUGCUAGUAUUACUGCCCUAUAGUCCGUAGUUUUGCCAGAGGUUUCGGGGUGCUCUUAAUCGAGUGUCCCGGGAUGCUGGCAGGUUUACUUUGAAAAAAUUAGAGUGCUCAAAGCAGGCUAUUACGCCUGAAUAUUCGUGCAUGGAAUAAUAGAAUAGGAAGUCGUUUCUAUUUUGUUGGUUUUCGGAAAUCGACUUAAUGAUUAAUAGGGACAGUCGGGGGCAUUUGUAUUCAAACGACAGAGGUGAAAUUCUUGGACCGUUUGAAGACAAACUACUGCGAAAGCAUUUGCCAAGAAUGUUUUCAUUAAUCAAGAACGAAAGUUAAAGGUUCGAAGGCGAUUAGAUACCGCCCUAGUUUUAACCAUAAACGAUGCCAGCUAGCGAUCUGCGGACGUUUUUUUUGUAGACUCCGCAGGAAGCUUCCGGGAAACCAA